Long non-coding RNA from Brassica oleracea var. oleracea, 1409 nucleotides. RefSeq lists it as uncharacterized. Lineage: Eukaryota; Viridiplantae; Streptophyta; Magnoliopsida; Brassicales; Brassicaceae. The record is from RefSeq and is a predicted model, not a curated record. The transcript has 5 exons.
CAAAGUCGAAUUCUUACCUUCACCUUCUUCAGACAUUGCGACCAUGGAUUUCUAGGGUUCAUCAUGUUGUGGGAGCUUUGAUUAGGUCAACGGACUAUGGAGUUUCUGGAGUUUUAAGUUACAUGAAUCGUCAUUCGUUUGAGGUUCCUUUCCUCCAGACCGUUACAGAUGCUUUGAUUGAUGGUUUUAACUCAUUCUCCCCACUCUUACCAAGAUUCCUCAUUCAAUGCACUUCUCUUCCGGUCGGUCAAUAUUUUGCUAUAAAAAGAUGGUAGCUGUAGCACCACCGUCCAAGGCCGUCUGGGAGGCCAAGAAAGUGAAAAGAGGUCGCGAGCUUAUGGGCGUCGUAUGCUUCUCCUUGAUGCCAAGGUAGCCCCGGCGAUUUCCAAAACAAACCAUUCCCUUUUCCUUUAACAUUUACAAGUGAAGCUUUCCUUCUCUGCAGCAAAUAACAAUUUCCAUGUCUGAAGACAGGCACCAACCAAAGUAAAUGAAUGCUAAAGAAGGAACAAAUAAUGGAUCUAUCAAGGCCUCCCAUUGCAUACUUUGAACAUCAUAUUUGUUCUUCUUUGUGGAACAUUCACCGUAAACGGCAAAGUAAAUCCAGCAUCGGAAGCUAAUGUAAGUUCUUUUACUCACUAAAGAAUAUGUGAUUGUCAUAGACAUCAGCUACUGUCAAAUGUGAAUAUAAAUUCUUCUUAUAUAGAGUUUAUAUCAUCUUCUCAUCUCUACAUAUAUUCUUAUCAAAUUUGUUGGCUAGGGUUGGCGAUCCAAAAGCUGCAGAUAUUGUGUUCACAUGUGGGGUCUAUAUAAUUGACAUUAAGUUUGGCUUUGGAUUGUCUCUCCACAUUAUUUAAAAAGCUACCCUUUUUGCUUAUACUUUGGCCCAGAGAAAAUUGAUGGUUAGUAGUUUCGGUCACUGGUGAGGUAACAUUGGUGUAGAAACUCUCUUCAGAGUUCUUUUUGGGUUCAAAAAGAAAACAUGGCAAUGGUGGUGAAGAAACUCAUCCAGAUGAGCUUGGAAAUGAACACACUGGGAAAAGAGCUAUGGUUUCAAGAGGAGAGAUGACGUUUCAAGAUGUUUACGGUGCAGAGGCAUUGCUGAAUGAAGAAGAUGAGGAGGAUGAUAGUGGUUGGAACCUGAGCAGCAGACGAUGCCCGUUGAGUUUGUGAAAUCGUGUUGCGUCAAUUCCACUAUGACGAAUCGUGGUGAUAUGGUCCAUUGUUAUGUAUGUUUUGCUUUCACUAUGACCCAUGAAGUUAUUAUGACAGGUUCUUCGGAAAAUCACUGUCUCCUUUGAUGCUAAACAUUGUUAUCAUAAUCACACAUUAUUUUAACACAUGUUAUCUUUGUAGAUUGUAAUUGUCUUUGUAAUGUUCCUUUUUGAAAUUAUUUUCUUAUGUUCAGU